AGUGAACGCUGGCGGUAGGCCUAACACAUGCAAGUCGAACGGCAGCACAGUAAGAGCUUGCUCUUACGGGUGGCGAGUGGCGGACGGGUGAGGCAUACAUCGGAAUCUACUUUUUCGUGGGGGAUAACGUAGGGAAACUUACGCUAAUACCGCAUACGACCUACGGGUGAAAGCAGGGGAUCUUCGGACCUUGCGCGAUUGAAUGAGCCGAUGUCGGAUUAGCUAGUUGGCGGGGUAAAGGCCCACCAAGGCGACGAUACGUAGCUGGUCUGAGAGGAUGAUCAGCCACACUGGAACUGAGACACGGUCCAGACUCCUACGGGAGGCAGCAGUGGGGAAUAUUGGACAAUGGGCGCAAGCCUGAUCCAGCCAUACCGCGUGGGUGAAGAAGGCCUUCGGGUUGUAAAGCCCUUUUGUUGGGAAAGAAAAGCAGCAGGUUAAUACCCCGCUGUUCUGACGGUACCCAAAGAAUAAGCACCGGCUAACUUCGUG
This 492-nucleotide ribosomal RNA is filed under the name uncultured bacterium. Its description in RNAcentral is "partial 16S ribosomal RNA". It matches the Rfam family "Bacterial small subunit ribosomal RNA", at positions 29 to 507 of the family's 1533-position model. The record is from RNAcentral.